Molecule: long non-coding RNA, 387 nt
Filed under: Brassica napus (rape)
Lineage: Eukaryota; Viridiplantae; Streptophyta; Magnoliopsida; Brassicales; Brassicaceae
Description: long non-coding RNA (BNAP_LNC002946)
Source: RNAcentral
AUUAGAGAAAGCUGGAAACGUUAAGAUAGUUAUCACAUAUAAAUUAUUUGUUCGGAUAAUUUAGUGAAUCAUGGAUGAUGGUGACACAUCCGAAGAUAGGCUAAUAGUGAUGUAUUGUAUGGUUGGAUUUAUAGCUUUCGUCCUUGUCUCUCUCGGCAUCAUUGGAUUUACUUGUUUUCGUACUUGGCUUUCUCUCGAUAAACCCUCGUAUACUCCUCUUAGAACCGACUCCGGGAAGGAAGAGCAGGAAACAAAAUUCUCCAAUCGAGUUUGAAGAUUUGAGUAGAACAUAUACAUAUGCAUGGUCUGUUUAUCAGUUUGGGGCUUUACUUUUACAGGCCAUAAUUGUUUUCCUUAUUAUUAUUAUUUUUUUUAAAUUGAUCGAUC